Molecule: ribosomal RNA, 494 nt
Filed under: uncultured bacterium
Lineage: Bacteria
Description: partial 16S ribosomal RNA
Rfam family: Bacterial small subunit ribosomal RNA
Source: RNAcentral
AUGAACGCUGGCGGCGUGCCUAAUACAUGCAAGUAGAACGCUGAAGGAGGAGCUUGCUUCUCCGGAUGAGUUGCGAACGGGUGAGUAACGCGUAGGUAACCUGCCUGGUAGCGGGGGAUAACUAUUGGAAACGAUAGCUAAUACCGCAUAACAGUAGAUAUCGCAUGAUAUCUGCUUGAAAGGUGCAAUUGCAUCACUACCAGAUGGACCUGCGUUGUAUUAGCUAGUUGGUGAGGUAACGGCUCACCAAGGCGACGAUACAUAGCCGACCUGAGAGGGUGAUCGGCCACACUGGGACUGAGACACGGCCCAGACUCCUACGGGAGGCAGCAGUAGGGAAUCUUCGGCAAUGGACGGAAGUCUGACCGAGCAACGCCGCGUGAGUGAAGAAGGUUUUCGGAUCGUAAAGCUCUGUUGUAAGAGAAGAACGAGUGUGAGAGUGGAAAGUUCACACUGUGACGGUAUCUUACCAGAAAGGGACGGCUAACUACGUG